Molecule: ribosomal RNA, 342 nt
Filed under: uncultured Pseudomonadota bacterium
Lineage: Bacteria; Pseudomonadati; Pseudomonadota
Description: bacterial SSU rRNA
Rfam family: Bacterial small subunit ribosomal RNA
Source: RNAcentral
AAUGAACGCUGGCGGCGUGCUUAACACAUGCAAGUCGCACGAGAACGCUUUAGCUUGCUAGAGCUAGUAAAGUGGCGCACGGGUGAGUAACGCGUGGGUAAUCUACCCCGAAUUUGGGAUAACGUUGCGAAAGCGACGCUAAUACCGGAUGACAUCUUGACAGCUUUGGUUGUUGAGAUCAAAGGUGGCCUCUACAUGUAAGCUACUGUUUGGGGAUGAGCCCGCGUACCAUUAGCUAGUUGGUAGGGUAACGGCCUACCAAGGCAACGAUGGUUAGCUGGUCUGAGAGGAUGAUCAGCCACACUGGAACUGACACACGGUCCAGACUCCUACGGGAGGCAG